GAUCAUUACUGAGUGAGGGCCCCUCGGGGUCCAACCUCCCACCCGUGUCUCCUGUACCAUGUUGCUUCGGCGGGCCCGCCUCACGGCCGCCGGGGGGCCUCUGCCCCCGGGCCCGCGCCCGCCGAAGACCCCCUCUGAACGCUGUCUGAAGAUUGCAGUYUGAGCGAAAUAGCAAAAUUAAUUAAAACUUUCAACAACGGAUCUCUUGGUUCCGGCAUCGAUGAAGAACGCAGCGAAAUGCGAUAACUAAUGUGAAUUGCAGAAUUCAGUGAAUCAUCGAGUCUUUGAACGCACAUUGCGCCCCCUGGUAUUCCGGGGGGCAUGCCUGUCCGAGCGUCAUUGCUGCCCUCAAGCCCGGCUUGUGUGUUGGGCCGCCGUCCCCCCGCCCCGGGGGGACGGGCCCGAAAGGCAGCGGCGGCACCGUGUCCGGUCCUCGAGCGUAUGGGGCUUUGUCACCCGCUYUGAAGGCCCGGCCGGCGCUGGCCGACCCCCAACCAUUUUUUUUUUCAGGUUGACCUCGGAU
RNAcentral lists this unclassified non-coding RNA (523 nucleotides) under Penicillium jugoslavicum. RNAcentral describes it as "sequence contains 18S rRNA gene, ITS1, 5.8S rRNA gene, ITS2, 28S rRNA gene". Lineage: Eukaryota; Fungi; Ascomycota; Eurotiomycetes; Eurotiales; Aspergillaceae. The record is from RNAcentral.